AACGAACGCUGGCGGCAUGCCUAACACAUGCAAGUCGAACGAGAUCUUCGGGUCUAGUGGCGCACGGGUGCGUAACGCGUGGGAAUCUGCCCUUUGGUUCGGAAUAACAGUUGGAAACGACUGCUAAUACCGGAUGAUGACGAAAGUCCAAAGAUUUAUCGCCAGAGGAUGAGCCCGCGUAGGAUUAGCUAGUUGGUGUGGUAAAGGCGCACCAAGGCGACGAUCCUUAGCUGGUCUGAGAGGAUGAUCAGCCACACUGGGACUGAGACACGGCCCAGACUCCGACGGGAGGCAGCAGUGGGGAAUAUUGGACAAUGGGCGAAAGCCUGAUCCAGCAAUGCCGCGGGAGUGAUAAAGGCCUUAGGGUUGUAAAGCUCUUUUCCCCGGGAUGAUAAUGACAGUACCGGGAGAAUAAGCUCCGGCUAACUCCGUGCCAGCCGCCGCAGUAA
This 449-nucleotide ribosomal RNA is filed under the name uncultured bacterium. RNAcentral describes it as "partial 16S ribosomal RNA". It matches the Rfam family "Bacterial small subunit ribosomal RNA", at positions 29 to 523 of the family's 1533-position model. The record is from RNAcentral.